CCUACGGGAGGCAGCAGUGAGGAAUAUUGGUCAAUGGACGAGAGUCUGAACCAGCCAAGUAGCGUGAAGGAUGACUGCCCUAUGGGUUGUAAACUUCUUUUAUAUGGGAAUAAAAUGUUCCACGUGUGGGAUUUUGUAUGUACCAUAUGAAUAAGGAUCGGCGAACUCCGUGCCAGCAGCCGCGGUAAUACGGAGGAUCCGAGCGUUAUCCGGAUUUAUUGGGUUUUAAGGGAGCGUAGGUGGAUUGUUAAGUCAGUUGUGAAAGUUUGCGGCUCAACCGUAAAAUUGCAGUUGAAACUGGCAGUCUUGAGUACAGUAGAGGUGGGCGGAAUUCGUGGUGUAGCGGUGAAAUGCUUAGAUAUCACGAAGAACUCCGAUUGCGAAGGCAGUUCACUGGACUGCAACUGACACUGAGGCUCGAAAGUGUGGGUAUCAAACAGGAUUAGAUACCCCAGUAGUC
RNAcentral lists this ribosomal RNA (460 nucleotides) under uncultured bacterium. Its description in RNAcentral is "partial 16S ribosomal RNA". It matches the Rfam family "Bacterial small subunit ribosomal RNA", at positions 338 to 795 of the family's 1533-position model. The record is from RNAcentral.